CAGGCUUAACACAUGCAAGUCGAGGGGCAGCAUGGUCUUAGCUUGCUAAGGCCGAUGGCGACCGGCGCACGGGUGAGUAACACGUAUCCAACCUGCCGUCUACUCUUGGACAGCCUUCUGAAAGGAAGAUUAAUACAAGAUGGCAUCAUGAGUCCGCAUGUUCACAUGAUUAAAGGUAUUCCGGUAGACGAUGGGGAUGCGUUCCAUUAGAUAGUAGGCGGGGUAACGGCCCACCUAGUCUUCGAUGGAUAGGGGUUCUGAGAGGAAGGUCCCCCACAUUGGAACUGAGACACGGUCCAAACUCCUACGGGAGGCAGCAGUGAGGAAUAUUGGUCAAUGGGCGAGAGCCUGAACCAGCCAAGUAGCGUGAAGGAUGACUGCCCUAUGGGUUGUAAACUUCUUUUAUAAAGGAAUAAAGUCGGGUAUGCAUACCCGUUUGCAUGUACUUUAUGAAUAAGGAUCGGCUAACUCCGUGCCAGCAGCCGCGGUAAUACGGAGGAUCCGAGCGUUAUCCGGAUUUAUUGGGUUUAAAGGGAGCGUAGAUGGAUGUUUAAGUCAGUUGUGAAAGUUUGCGGCUCAACCGUAAAAUUGCAGUUGAUACUGGAUAUCUUGAGUGCAGUUGAGGCAGGCGGAAUUCGUGGUGUAGCGGUGAAAUGCUUAGAUAUCACGAAGAACUCCGAUUGCGAAGGCAGCCUGCUAAGCUGCAACUGACAUUGAGGCUCGAAAGUGUGGGUAUCAAACAGGAUUAGAUACCCUGGUAGUCCACACGGUAAACGAUGAAUACUCGCUGUUUGCGAUAUACAGCAAGCGGCCAAGCGAAAGCGUUAAGUAUUCCACCUGGGGAGUACGCCGGCAACGGUGAAACUCAAAGGAAUUGACGGGGGCCCGCACAAGCGGAGGAACAUGUGGUUUAAUUCGAUGAUACGCGAGGAACCUUACCCGGGCUUAAAUUGCAGAUGAAUUACGGUGAAAGCCGUAAGCCGCAAGGCAUCUGUGAAGGUGUUGCAUGGUUGUCGUCAGCUCGUGCCGUGAGGUGUCGGCUUAAGUGCCAUAACGAGCGCAACCCUUGUUGUCAGUUACUAACAGGUUCCGCUGAGGACUCUGACAAGACUGCCAUCGUAAGAUGUGAGGAAGGUGGGGAUGACGUCAAAUCAGCACGGCCCUUACGUCCGGGGCUACACACGUGUUACAAUGGGGGGGUACAGAGGGCCGCUACCACGCGAGUGGAUGCCAAUCCCAAAAACCUCUCUCAGUUCGGACUGGAGUCUGCAACCCGACUCCACGAAGCUGGAUUCGCUAGUAAUCGCGCAUCAGCCACGGCGCGGUGAAUACGUUCCCGGGCCUUGUACACACCGCCCGUCAAGCCAUGGGAGCCGGGGGUACCUGAAGUGCGUAACCGCGAGGAGCGCCCUAGGGUAAAACUGGUGACUGG
RNAcentral lists this ribosomal RNA (1432 nucleotides) under uncultured organism. RNAcentral describes it as "16S ribosomal RNA". It matches the Rfam family "Bacterial small subunit ribosomal RNA". The record is from RNAcentral.